This is a long non-coding RNA of Pongo pygmaeus (Bornean orangutan), 1238 nucleotides long. RefSeq lists it as uncharacterized. The transcript has 4 exons. The record is from RefSeq and is a predicted model, not a curated record. NCBI's taxonomy places the organism in Eukaryota, Metazoa, Chordata, Mammalia, Primates, Hominidae.
GAGAAAGCUGACGGUCCUUACCUGCGGCGUACGGACUGCUCUGGUGGUCCCUGAGGGUGCCCAGGCUGCAGGAUCCCGGCGUGAGGGACGGGCAGCCGGACGUGGCCCCAAAAGUGGUCCUUAUCGGGUUAUACUGGAAGCCACUGGCCUGGCUGCAGGAACUGAAGUCAGCAUAGGCUGAAGCCAGGCUCGAGGUGUCCAUCCCAGCCAUACAGGACUCGUAGGCAGAGGAAUUGAGGGUUCUCACAACAAAUUGAAAGAGAAUAAAACAUUCUCUUGCUUCAUAAUCAAAGUACUGCUCACACUUCCAGCAACCUUUGGAAGGGGAAUCCUGGCUAUUGAUGUCCCUGGAAAGAGUGGUAGAAGAAAAGAAAUUGAAGACAUGGAAGAAAGAUGAAAACACUGGCUACUAAAUACCUGUGUGUGGUUACUGAGUGUGGUAUACUUGGACACCAAGCUCCCCCACUCAUCAGAUGUCACAAAGACUCCUUUUACUCUUGGAUAAUUUCAAAUCAAACUGACCUCCCCAGGCCAAGCUGAAGGUAUUGAGAAAAUAUCCAGAUGACACAGAAACUGGAAUGUUCAGAGGCUGAUGAACAAAGGGAGAAUUUUGCUCCUGUUGCUUAUUCCUGGGACACCUCUAGCUGGGAAUACAUAUCCCAGGGCUGUUAGUAGUUUUAACCUUUCUUUGGCCACUUGAUGGUCAAACGAUUCUAGUACAUCCCUGUGCCUAACGGCUCUCAAAAUACUCUGGAAAUACAAGUUCCUGCUCAAGGUCCAACAGCUGUCAGAGCAGAUGGCUGGGGAUUUGUUUACUGUGGUCCUAAGUAUUACCCUUUAGCUCUAAGGCACUGGGAACAAUUUGACAAAUUUGAUUAACUGAGAACAAUAUGAUGCUUGCCUGGAAAGCUCACUCCACACUUUCACAGAGUUCCUUAUGUUCUUUUCACGGUCUGAGGAUACGGGAUGAUAUUAGCUACCACCUCAGUCCAAUGAAACUAUCAGAGAAAACAAAAAAGUCACCCUUGGCUACCCCUUUUGUUUUACAACUGAAUGUUUGUGAUACACAUGUACAGCCAGCUGUUCUAUCAGAGAUGCUCAGAGCAUACCUAGUCCUGCCUUUAAGAAAAAGAAAUGUGACUUCAUGUUCCAUGGCACUCUAUGGCUUAUUUGUCAAUUACAAAGUGUGUCUGCUUUGUGAAACUAAAAAUAAAUAAUUAAUCUGCUGGAAAAUCUUA